This 750-nucleotide ribosomal RNA is filed under the name uncultured euryarchaeote. Its description in RNAcentral is "bacterial SSU rRNA". It matches the Rfam family "Archaeal small subunit ribosomal RNA", at positions 1 to 750 of the family's 1478-position model. The record is from RNAcentral. Lineage: Archaea; Methanobacteriati; Methanobacteriota.
AGGAGAGUUUGAUCCUGGCGGAGGCUACUGCUAUUGGGGUUCGAUUAAGCCAUGCAAGUUGAACGAUUCUUCGGAAUCGUGGCGAACGGCUCAGUAACACGUGGAUAACCUACCCUUAGGACUGGGAUAACCUUGGGAAACUGAGGAUAAUACCGGAUAGGCAAUUAUUUCUGGAAUGAUUUUUUGUUUAAAUGUUUUUUCGCCUAAGGAUGGGUCUGCGGCCGAUUAGGUAGUUGGUUAGGUAACGGCUUACCAAGCCAUUGAUCGGUACGGGUUGUGAGAGCAAGAGCCCGGAGAUGGAACCUGAGACAAGGUUCCAGGCCCUACGGGGUGCAGCAGGCGCGAAACCUCCGCAAUGUGAGAAAUCGCGACGGGGGGAUCCCAAGUGCCAUUCUUAACGGGAUGGCUUUUCAUUAGUGUAAAGAGCUUUUGGAAUAAGGGCUGGGCAAGACCGGUGCCAGCCGCCGCGGUAACACCGGCAGCUCUAGUGGUAGCAGUUUUUAUUGGGCCUAAAGCGUCCGUAGCCGGUUUAAUAAGUCUCUGGUGAAAUCCUGUAGCUUAACUGUGGGAAUUGCUGGAGAUACUAUUAGACUUGAGACCGGGAGAGGUUAGAGGUACUCCCAGGGUAGAGGUGAAAUUCUGUAAUCCUGGGAGGACCGCCUGUUGCGAAGGCGUCUAACUGGAACGGUUCUGACGGUGAGGGACGAAAGUUAGGGGCGCGAACCGGAUUAGAUACCCUGGUAGUCCCCU